This 72-nucleotide transfer RNA is filed under the name Enterococcus faecalis. Its description in RNAcentral is "tRNA-Gly". It matches the Rfam family "tRNA". Rfam says of the family: Transfer RNA (tRNA) molecules are approximately 80 nucleotides in length. Their secondary structure includes four short double-helical elements and three loops (D, anti-codon, and T loops). The record is from RNAcentral. RNAcentral also lists the same sequence under 5 other names. Lineage: Bacteria; Bacillati; Bacillota; Bacilli; Lactobacillales; Enterococcaceae.
GCGGAAAUAGCUCAGUGGUAGAGCACCACCUUGCCAAGGUGGGGGUCGCGGGUUCGAAUCCCGUUUUCCGCU